CAGUCGCCGCGGUAAUACGAAGGGGGCUAGCGUUGUUCGGAAUCACUGGGCGUAAAGGGUGCGUAGGCGGAUUCUUAAGUCAGGGGUGAAAUCCCGAGGCUCAACCUCGGAACUGCCUUUGAUACUGGGGAUCUUGAGUCCGGAAGAGGUGAGUGGAACUGCGAGUGUAGAGGUGAAAUUCGUAGAUAUUCGCAAGAACACCGGUGGCGAAGGCGGCUCACUGGUCCGGAACUGACGCUGAGGCACGACAGCGUGGGGAGCAAACAGGAUUAGAUACCCCUGUAGUCCCUGUCUCUUAUAC
This 301-nucleotide ribosomal RNA is filed under the name uncultured bacterium. RNAcentral describes it as "partial 16S ribosomal RNA". It matches the Rfam family "Bacterial small subunit ribosomal RNA", at positions 509 to 807 of the family's 1533-position model. The record is from RNAcentral.